GGACCCGCACAAGCAGUGGAGCAUGUGGUUUAAUUCGACGCAACGCGAAGAACCUUACCAGCGUUUGACAUGGGAAGUGCCGGUUACAGAAUGGUAACCUUCAGUUCGGCUGGCUUCCACACAGGUGCUGCAUGGCUGUCGUCAGCUCGUGUCGUGAGAUGUUGGUUAAGUCCCGCAACGAGCGCAACCCUUAUCGUUAGUUACUAACAGUUCGGCUGAGGACUCUAGCGAAACUGCCGGUGAUAAGCCGGAGGAAGGUGGGGAUGACGUCAAGUCCUCAUGGCCCUUACACGCUGGGCUACACACGUGCUACAAUGGUAACUACAACGGGACGCAAUACCGCGAGGUGGAGCA
RNAcentral lists this ribosomal RNA (354 nucleotides) under uncultured bacterium. RNAcentral describes it as "bacterial SSU rRNA". It matches the Rfam family "Bacterial small subunit ribosomal RNA", at positions 917 to 1269 of the family's 1533-position model. The record is from RNAcentral.